UGUAAGCGUAUACCAAAGUUGUUGCAGUUAAAACGCUCGUAGUCGGAAUUUGGCAGUUCCGGAUGUGUGCACGUCGUGUGCGCACUUCGCGGGGAUUGCUUUUGUGGUCUUGCGUAGGAUGAGGCACUUUUAUUAGUGAACGUCCUCACGCAACCACUUUUUACUGUGAGAAAAUCAGAGUGCUCAAAGCAGGCAUUUGCCGUGAAUGUAUUAGCAUGGAAUAAUAGAAUAGGACUUGGUUCUAUUUUGUUGGUUUGUUGGGACUGAGUAAUGAUUAAGAGGGACAGUUGGGGGCAUUUGUAUUUCGGUGCUAGAGGUGAAAUUCUUAGAUUACCGAAAGACAAACUGCUGCGAAAGCGUCUGCCAAGGAUGGUUUCAUUGA
Molecule: ribosomal RNA, 382 nt
Filed under: uncultured eukaryote
Lineage: Eukaryota
Description: partial 18S ribosomal RNA
Rfam family: Eukaryotic small subunit ribosomal RNA
Source: RNAcentral